UCUUUACAUUAAUUUAAGAAUUUAAGUUAAUCAUGUGUAUAAUUCUUUUUAUUUUUAAAAAUGUUUUGCUGGGGCGGCAUAAAUAGAAAAUAAUCUGUUUAAAAAAAAUUACAAAAUAUAAUUGAGUUAAUUAUUGAGUGAUCCUUGAUAUAGAUUGCAAGAUUAAGUU
Molecule: ribosomal RNA, 169 nt
Filed under: Paguristes ortmanni
Lineage: Eukaryota; Metazoa; Arthropoda; Malacostraca; Decapoda; Diogenidae
Description: partial 16S ribosomal RNA
Source: RNAcentral